GCUGGGAUAGCUCAGUUGGUAGAGCAUUUGCCUGAAGAGCAAGGGGUCGGCAGUUCGAGCCUGCCUCCCAGCACAA
This 76-nucleotide transfer RNA is filed under the name Candidatus Nomurabacteria bacterium. RNAcentral describes it as "tRNA-Phe". It matches the Rfam family "tRNA". Rfam says of the family: Transfer RNA (tRNA) molecules are approximately 80 nucleotides in length. Lineage: Bacteria; Candidatus Nomuraibacteriota. The record is from RNAcentral.